RNAcentral lists this ribosomal RNA (1431 nucleotides) under uncultured organism. Its description in RNAcentral is "SSU rRNA". It matches the Rfam family "Bacterial small subunit ribosomal RNA". The record is from RNAcentral.
UCAGGACGAACGCUGGCGGCGUGCUUAACACAUGCAAGUCGAACGGAAAGGCCCUGCUUUUGUGGGGUGCUCGAGUGGCGAACGGGUGAGUAACACGUGAGUAACCUGCCCUUGACUUUGGGAUAACUUCAGGAAACUGGGGCUAAUACCGGAUAGGAGCUCCUGCUGCAUGGUGGGGGUUGGAAAGUUUCGGCGGUUGGGGAUGGACUCGCGGCUUAUCAGCUUGUUGGUGGGGUAGUGGCUUACCAAGGCUUUGACGGGUAGCCGGCCUGAGAGGGUGACCGGCCACAUUGGGACUGAGAUACGGCCCAGACUCCUACGGGAGGCAGCAGUGGGGAAUAUUGCACAAUGGGCGGAAGCCUGAUGCAGCAACGCCGCGUGCGGGAUGACGGCCUUCGGGUUGUAAACCGCUUCCGCCUGUGACGAAGCGUGAGUGACGGUAAUGGGUAAAGAAGCACCGGCUAACUACGUGCCAGCAGCCGCGGUGAUACGUAGGGUGCGAGCGUUGUCCGGAUUUAUUGGGCGUAAAGGGCUCGUAGGUGGUUGAUCGCGUCGGAAGUGUAAUCUUGGGGCUUAACCCUGAGCGUGCUUUCGAUACGGGUUGACUUGAGGAAGGUAGGGGAGAAUGGAAUUCCUGGUGGAGCGGUGGAAUGCGCAGAUAUCAGGAGGAACACCAGUGGCGAAGGCGGUUCUCUGGGCCUUUCCUGACGCUGAGGAGCGAAAGCGUGGGGAGCGAACAGGCUUAGAUACCCUGGUAGUCCACGCUGUAAACGGUGGGUACUAGGUGUGGGGUCCAUUCCACGGGUUCCGUGCCGUAGCUAACGCUUUAAGUACCCCGCCUGGGGAGUACGGCCGCAAGGCUAAAACUCAAAGGAAUUGACGGGGCCCCGCACAAGCGGCGGAGCAUGCGGAUUAAUUCGAUGCAACGCGUAGAACCUUACCUGGGUUUGACAUGGAUCGGGAGUGCUCAGAGAUGGGUGUGCCUCUUUUGGGGUCGGUUCACAGGUGGUGCAUGGCUGUCGUCAGCUCGUGUCGUGAGAUGUUGGGUUAAGUCCCGCAACGAGCGCAACCCUUGUUCACUGUUGCCAGCACGUUAUGGUGGGGACUCAGUGGAGACCGCCGGGGUCAACUCGGAGGAAGGUGGGGAUGACGUCAAGUCAUCAUGCCCCUUAUGUCCAGGGCUUCACGCAUGCUACAAUGGCUGGUACAGAGAGUGGCGAGCCUGUGAGGGUGAGCGAAUCUCGGAAAGCCGGUCUCCGUUCGGAUUGGGGUCUGCAACUCGACCUCAUGAAGUCGGAGUCGCUAGUAAUCGCAGAUCAGCAACGCUGCGGUGAAUACGUUCCCGGGGCUUGUACACACCGCCCGUCAAGUCAUGAAAGUUGGUAACACCCGAAGCCGGUGAAGGAACCGUUGUGGGGGAGCCGUCGAAGG